CCCUACGGGGCGCAGCAGGCGCGAAAACUUUACAAUGCGGGAAACCGUGAUAAGGGAACUCCGAGUGUCCGUAAAUGCGGACUGUCCGUAUGUUUAAAAAGCAUGCGAAGAAAGGGCCGGGCAAGACCGGUGCCAGCCGCCGCGGUAAUACCGGCGGCUCGAGUGGUGGCCACUAUUACUGGGCUUAAAGCGUUCGUAGCUGGGUUGUUAAGUCUCUUGGGAAAUCUACCGGCUUAACCGAUGGGCGUCCAAGGGAUACUGGCAAUCUAGGGACCGGGAGAGGUGAGGGGUACUUCGGGGGUAGGAGUGAAAUCCUGUAAUCC
This 323-nucleotide ribosomal RNA is filed under the name uncultured archaeon. RNAcentral's name for it is "bacterial SSU rRNA". It matches the Rfam family "Archaeal small subunit ribosomal RNA", at positions 321 to 648 of the family's 1478-position model. The record is from RNAcentral.